This 497-nucleotide ribosomal RNA is filed under the name uncultured bacterium. Its description in RNAcentral is "partial 16S ribosomal RNA". It matches the Rfam family "Bacterial small subunit ribosomal RNA", at positions 28 to 507 of the family's 1533-position model. The record is from RNAcentral.
GAUGAACGCUGGCGGCGUGCCUAAUACAUGCAAGUCGAGCGAACGGACGAGAAGCUUGCUUCUCUGAUGUUAGCGGCGGACGGGUGAGUAACACGUGGAUAACCUACCUAUAAGACUGGGAUAACUUCGGGAAACCGGAGCUAAUACCGGAUGAUAUUUUGAGCCGCAUGGUUCAAAAGUGAAAGACGGUCUUGCUGUCACUUAUAGAUGGAUCCGCGCUGCAUUAGCUAGUUGGUAAGGUAACGGCUUACCAAGGCAACGAUGCAUAGCCGACCUGAGCGGGUGAUCGGCCACACUGGAACUGAGACACGGUCCAGACUCCUACGGGAGGCAGCAGUAGGGAAUCUUCCGCAAUGGGCGAAAGCCUGACGGAGCAACGCCGCGUGAGUGAUGAAGGUCUUCGGAUCGUAAAACUCUGUUAUUAGGGAAGAACAUAUGUGUAAGUAACUGUGCACAUCUUGACGGUACCUAAUCAGAAAGCCACGGCUAACUACGUG